GAGCUGCCAGUUGGAGUCAGAGGGAAGAGGCUGCAGAGACUUUUACAGAGAUGCUAAAGAGGUGAAAACUGGAAAGGGUAUGACCAGAUGUGAAGAUAUUCACCAUUGAGUGCUCUUCUUUUCAGAAGAAACUGAAGAUUGGAUUGGAAACUAGUAGAGAACGACCCAGAAGGUAUAUAGUUAGCUAUUGAGGUAAGGGGGUCCAUUUGUAAUUUUACUACUUCUCUUCACUUCAUGACUGGUGAAAUGGGCAAGAAAUGGUACACCAGGAGUUGGAAGCACUAUUACCUAUUGAUUUUACUUUUUUUCUUCCCUUAAAGGACAGGCACAGAAGGAGAUGGAAGCCCUGAGGUCAAAGGGAAGUUUAUUCCUCUUUGAACUGAGAUUCUCCAUAUCGCAGUAUGUAGAUCAUGUUGGCAGCUCUCAGUGGAAAUUGCUAUGUGCUGGGACAGUUGGAAGUCAAGUUAUUAACUUCCUUGAAAUAAGUUUUCCUUGGGAUUAAUGCUAACCUAUUUUCACAGGAUUUUCUAAUUUCCUAUUUAUUUGUCCUGCCCAAGUUUUUAAAAUUUAUUUAAAUUGUUAAGUUCUUUUCCUGUUUAUGUAUUUAUGCAUCCUCUCUCUUUAAGACUUUCCAUUUAGGUUGAAGGGAAUAUUAAAGGGAAGAACAGUUAAGGGAGGCAGUGGUCAAAAGCAAAAGACUUUUCAGGAGGGACAGGAUAAAAUGGUAGAAAAAAAGGAUAAAUAGGAGACUAUAGGAUGGAGGGAAUUGCACAGGUGAAUGUGAAUAGGAUGAACUUGCCCAUAAAAUGGAUGUGGGAAGGAAAAUGGAUUCAAAACUAGUAUCCAGAGGAA
Molecule: long non-coding RNA, 852 nt
Organism: Antechinus flavipes (yellow-footed antechinus)
Lineage: Eukaryota; Metazoa; Chordata; Mammalia; Dasyuromorphia; Dasyuridae
Exons: 2
Source: RefSeq, a predicted model, not a curated record